RNAcentral lists this unclassified non-coding RNA (309 nucleotides) under Hevea brasiliensis (rubber tree). The record is from RNAcentral. Lineage: Eukaryota; Viridiplantae; Streptophyta; Magnoliopsida; Malpighiales; Euphorbiaceae.
GAGAACGUUCUUUUCCUGCUUCUCCUCCUGGAGCUCAGUGUCGAACUUCUCCUGGUUGGUAGUCUGAUUCAGACAGACCUCAUGAUAAGAAGCUCUGAGCUUCAUCAGCUCUUCUUGAAGAGCAUUAUUCUCAUCCUGAAGCAGAUCGCUGGUUUGAGUCUCCUUGUCCAUGGAGUCAAUCUUUUGGCUGUGAGCUUGCCUUUCCUCCAUCUCUGUCACCACAAGCUCAAGCCUGCUCAAAUCCCUUUUCAAAAGGGCCACCUUCUCCUUCAGAGCCACAUUGUCCUCUUCCAGAGCCUUCACCUUGUU